RNAcentral lists this ribosomal RNA (420 nucleotides) under uncultured archaeon. Its description in RNAcentral is "partial 16S ribosomal RNA". It matches the Rfam family "Archaeal small subunit ribosomal RNA", at positions 323 to 746 of the family's 1478-position model. The record is from RNAcentral.
CUACGGGUGGCUGCAGUUAGGAAUCUUCUGCAAUGCGCGCAAGCGUGACAGAGCGAACCAGAGUGUUCGUCAUAGACGAACUUUUGCCAGAUGCAAAAAGUCUGGCGAAUAAGGACUGGGUAAGACAGGUGCCAGCCGCCGCGGUAAUCCCUGCGGUCCAAGUCGCAGCCAUCAUUAUUGGGUCUAAAACAUCCGUCGCUUGUUAGGUGAGUUCUCUGUGAAAUCGGGCAUCUUAAGUGUCCGGCGUGCAGAGAGUACUGCCAAACUAGAGACUGGAAGACGCAAGAAGUACGUUUAAAGUAGUAGUGAAAUAUCUUAAUCUUAAGCGGACUCACAACAGCGAAGGCAUCUUGCGAGGACAGUUCUGACAGUAAGGGAUGAAGGCUAGGGGCGCAAAAGGGAUUAGAUACCCUGGUAGUC